CCUAAGAAGCACAACAGAAAAAGCAAAGAAAAUCAAAACCAAAGAAGAACAAAUAUAAUACAAAGCUUUAGCAAAGAACAUUAGCAAGAGGAGAGAGAAAAGCAUACCCUUUUCUUUCUCUCUCUAUUCGGUAUCCGAAGGUAAGUGUGUGGUGUCAAUGGGUAAUGGUUCAGUGGGUAUUUGUAAAGAUUCAGUAGGUAAUUGUAAAGGUUCAGUAGGUAAUUGUAAAGGUUCAGUAGGUAAUUGUGAAGAAGCAGCAUCAGCAGUUUCAGAUUCCUCCUGCAUCAACUUCUGCAACCCAGGUUUCAAUUCCUUGUUACAGAACUCCUCAUACUCCCCUUUAUCUCCU
RNAcentral lists this long non-coding RNA (349 nucleotides) under Manihot esculenta (cassava). RNAcentral's name for it is "long non-coding RNA (MESC_LNC009491)". Lineage: Eukaryota; Viridiplantae; Streptophyta; Magnoliopsida; Malpighiales; Euphorbiaceae. The record is from RNAcentral.